This is a non-coding RNA of Erythranthe guttata (spotted monkey flower), 119 nucleotides long. The record is from Rfam. NCBI's taxonomy places the organism in Eukaryota, Viridiplantae, Streptophyta, Magnoliopsida, Lamiales, Phrymaceae.
GGGUGCGAUCAUACCAGCACUAAUGCACCGGAUCCCAUCAGAACUCCGAAGUUGAGCGUGCUUGGGUGAGAGUAGUACUAGGAUAGGUGACCCCCUGGGAAGUCCUCGUGUUGCACCCC